This 3388-nucleotide long non-coding RNA is filed under the name Daucus carota (carrot). Its description in RNAcentral is "long non-coding RNA (DCAR_LNC005612)". The record is from RNAcentral. Lineage: Eukaryota; Viridiplantae; Streptophyta; Magnoliopsida; Apiales; Apiaceae.
AUUAUUCAUAAAUAUAAAUAGACCUUUCUACACCUUAUUUUCAACCGUAAAAUCAUUUCACCAGUUUCUCUGCACGAAUACCGAGAGAAACCGAAAUGUGUUCUUCGUGUUCUUCGUAAUCAAACGAGGAUUUGGAGGCGUUAUUGGAAUCCGAUGGAGGUGUAUGAAUAGUCAAAACGAAGCUAGCGACGUGUAGAAUCCAGUUUAAUCAAUCAUAACCAUGCAGAUUUCACGGGUAAUUUCUUAUUAAUUUUUGAAAAUUCGAAUUAUUAUAAUUUUAAAGAUGAAUUUUUGUAAACGUUCUUGUUUGAUUGUUUUGAUGCUUCUAUGUUGUAGAACGUGUUUUUCUCGUCGUUUCGGUAUAUUAUAUGUCGAAUUUGGACUUCAGAAACACAUAGAAACAUGAGAUUGAUCUUUGAAAUAACUGUUCUUCAUGUUCUUGAGUGUUCUUGAACAUUUUCAAUUGAAAAUUGGGGGCUUACAAAUCGUUGAUUCUGGGCAAAAUCAGAGGUUACCACUGUGUUUGUAUGGUUGUGAGGAGCGUUCGUAUGUGAUCACUGAGGGUGGAGGAGUUUGUUUUCGAGUUGAUCGGAAGUUAUAAGGUUCGCCGGAGACGAACCUUUGACUUGGUUUUCCGGCCGAUUUAUGGAUCUUCGGUCUAAUUGGUUAGUAUAUUCGAGUUCCUGGUGGUGUAGUGUUGCUGUGGUGUGAAUUUGGGUGUGUUCUGGGCAGAGGGAGUCACCGCCGGCGAGCUCCAAGGCGGCAGCCAUGGCUGCCGGCGGCAACUGGGAGAGAUGGUGGUGAAAUUUCAAUUUCAUCACCCAUCUACUGCAGUUUUACAAAUAAACCCCCAAAGUUUCUGGUUUUGCAAAUCAAACCCUGCUAGAAGUUUCCAAAACUAGCAGAUUAAACCCUUUAUUUUUAAAUCUUUUAAACAUUGUUUUUAUACUUAUUUUCUUUAAUUUCAAAAAGAGUUUUAAUUAUUUAUUCAUUCAAAAAUAAAUCUAAAUUAGUUUAUUAAUUAAUUUUAAUUUGUAAUUAAUUAUUUUAAUUAAUCAAUUAAUUUAAAUAUUAAUUGAUUAAUUGAUUUGAUUAAUUAUUAAUUGAUUUUAAUUGAUUAAUUAAUUGGAUUUAAUUAUCUUUUUUUGAUUUAAAAAUUCUGAAAAAUAGUUUCGAGCUUUGAUAUAUUUUUCUAAAUUAUGUUCAAGGCUCGAUUAUUGUUUAUGAAGGAUUUCAAGUCCAAUUUUGAGUAUCCGGACUUGAUUACCUAUUUAUAAAAUGAUUCUUUUAUCGAUUUUAAUUCCGAAAAAUGUUUAAAAAUUCUGGAAAAUUUCCGAAAAAUCAUUUUUAACCCAAGACUUGAUUUGACAUCAAUUGGGAUGGGAGAUUUAAUGUGUAAUGUGUUGUCUGCUAUCGGUGUAAGGUAUUAUAUGUUGAGAGCGGAGUCAGAAAACGGUUUUGAACAUAUCUUUUGAUCUGUAAGUCGGAAUCAAGUGAAACGAAAGAGAGAUGAAAGCUCAUGGAGUCUAUUUUAAUAUGGCAAGAUAAUAUGAUUGAACCUAGAAUAUGAUUAUGUGUUGUUAAGUUUACAGAAUGUGAUUAAAUGUGAAUUAUUUGCUAUAAGUUGAUGAUUACGUGAUAUACGUGCUUGUUCAUGAUAAACGAUUUGUAUGACUGGUAUUGGAUAAAAAUAUAGGGAUGACAAGGAUAAGAAUUGAUUGAAUUGGUUGUUGGUUGGGAAUAGGUUGACAGGUGGAUAGCCUUAUAAAUAGACGAGGUGCUGUCAGAUUUUCAAUAUGAUUAUUGAUUUGUGAUAUGUUAUGUGGAAUAUGAUUUGACUAUAUGAUAAGGUUAAAGAAUGAUCAUGUGCUAAGUGAUAUGUGAUAAGUUUAAAGAGAUAUACAAGUAGGUAUCGGUAUACGUGAUAUGUAUAUGCGAUAUAUUAUUUAGUGACUAUAGUAUUAUCUCAUUCUCGUUAAGGAUUUGGACGAAACGUGGAUGACCGAAGACGUCAGAAAGUCGGAAGGGUAUUGCAAAGCGAAUAAGGGAUGAAUCGAGUAAGCGAAGCGAUGUGGCGAAUAGAGUAUAGCUAGAGAUGGUCUAGAGAUUACGAGAUGCAUAGAUUGUGAAAGUUGAAAGAUGAGAUAGAGAUGUGAGAUUGGAGUCAGAUUUAAGGCAAGUAUCCUACACCCUGCUUUUUGAUAUCUUGCAAAUAUUCUGAUCCACUCUUUUAAUAUCUGUUGCAAUUGUUCUGAACUUCUGAUUAAUGCGAUUAUCCUCAUCCAUUCUUUCUAAUCCUCAAGCUUCAAAGAAUUUCCGUUUUAUAAAUCAAUUCGAAGUUCAAAUUGUCAUUGAAGCAUGUGUUGCUCAGUGAUAGUUAGAACCUAGAAUGACUUGGGAUCUUCUUGACUAUUCAACCCACCAUUGUCAUGCUAGUUUAGCAGGCUAAAUUCAGUUGCUUAGCCGAUAAUGGAGGAUACUGAAUAGUUAGGGAUUUCCUGAACUAUGUUUUAUGAAAGAAUGGGCUGUGAUUUAUGAAAAGAUGAUUAUCAAAGUUUGAUUUGGAAUUACCCUGUUAUUGAUGAUGUUUAUGACUAUAUUCCAUUGACUUACAUUGACUUUUUGAAUUGAAUUAGAGAAUUGGAUUAUUGUUUUUAUAUAAACCUGUGGACCAGAUGAGUGGUCAUGUUAGGCCAAUGAGUGCCUUGGAUCCAGUGAUAGAGCAUGGCGGGGCCUGCUCGGGGUUAGUGCGGAACUGAUCAGCUGCCUAACCUUGGUUUUAAUUAAAAUGUGAUAGUCCAAUUCAAUAAUUCUUUUGGAAGAAUUGAGUUCCUCAAUUUCCAUUGCUGCAAGGUAUUGUGAAUCCUUCUAUACAAUACCCUGAUCUUGUGAUCUCAUAUUGAAUCUGUUGAUGAAGUAGUUUGAGCUUGUGAACCCCUUUUAUAUUGUUCAGAAUUUCAUUGUUAUUAUUACUUGCUGAGCAUUGUUGCUCACGCUUGCUAUUCUCUUUUAACCAUUUCAGAAAGGAUUAAAGAUGAAUGGCUAGACUACAAUUGCGGGUAAGGCUAAGGCUAGGCGAGGAGUCAGAGGUGUUAAGGAUCCAGUGGUCGAGGAGUGUCCAGGAAGAUUGAUAAGGUUGAUGCUAGCUAGAGUUGAGCUACUGAGAUUCAGAUGUAAGUCGUGGCUGGAGUAGGUUGACAGUGAUUCUUCUUAUCGAAGAUGAUCUGAUUUGGUAAGAGUUGUUGUGUAAUAAUAGUGGUAGAUUCUAAUUUCAAUACUGUAACCUGGAUGCGAUCCUGUUGCUUUUAGGGGGUUUAAAUGUUCUCUUUCGAAUCAUUUAUUAAAGUUUAAAUGUUCUCUUGAAAUUCUCUUAUUAUGGCUUUCAAGU